GACAUAUUAUGAAAAUUCCACUUUUGUAGUGCUUCUACACAUUAGUUUGGGUAUCUGGCAUGUCUACCGUCCCAAAAACUCUGGAAAAAAAUCACUCCCGCGAUUUGUUGUGGUUCCUCUAUUUCAGAAACUAUGUGCUAAAGGGCGUCCAAUGGAAUUUCCCCCGAAAUAGACGUCAUAGUCGAAAAAUGCCCAUUUAGUACAUUCCCCCAUAGCUCUAUGCACUCCCCCACUACCACUCGACCCACCCCUAGAUGGACCCUCCCACUUUAUAUAAGCUCGGUCCACCGGUAUCCGCCAUUUCAUUCUUGCAAGCCUUGGAAACACUUGGAUUAGCUAACUAGCAGCAUGAAUCGGUGGUCGGCUGCAAACAUGUCUUCAUGUGACUCCAGCUUCAGAAGACACAAGAUUGAGAUGGAUUGAGUUCAUAUAUGAUGGCAACGUUCCUGCCACCACUUUGAAUCUGACUUUUUUAUCAACCUGGGCCAAUAUAACGCUGGAUUCUCUAAAAGGUUGUUAUUGAAAGAGGGGUCGGUGCCAUCUUUCCAUGGCAAUACUGAAGACGAGGGAAAUGCAAGCACAUCUGUUCACGGUGCUAGGCUACAUCACGUAGCAUGCCAGACGGACCCACCACAGAUGCGCACACAUGGAACGCAGCUUUCUAUGAAAACACUGCGACCUCACUACAAAAGUACAGGCACACAGAAAACUGUGCUGCACUGAUGUUGGUGUUGGGACCUCAGCUGUAAGAGACCUUGCUUGGAGGAGGGAGAGGACAAGAUGUGACAUUACAUGGAUAACCUGUUGGACCUCAUCUUUCACGAGGUUUUUCAGGACCCGGCCCCAUAUGUGAAUGAGGUGCUGAAGAUCUCAAAACCUGAGGAUCUCUCUGCCUAGUAUGAGAAACCUGACAAGCAGGAAGUUAUAGCCAGCUAUGUGUCGAGUUUCAAUCAAGGGCAGGUCUGAACCCUGUAUAACUUCCCUGAGCAUCAGGGAACACUCUGCGUAUCUGGAGCACCGAGCAGGAGGGCAGGACCACCCUGAUUCUCCGGCCCAGAUAGCCUCAACACCAGCUAACAAAGCUUCUCUACGACAAAUACCUGUAACGGCUGAGCAAAGUUCACAUUGUAUUUAGAGAAUAAAGGUGACACACAAAUAUAAAGUGUUCCUUUGUUUACAGUAUGGCUACUGAUGGCACAAAUUGUAUUUUUGAAAUCAAUGUUUUCAUUAUACUUGGUAUUUUAUUCUUACACGUGUAAGAUGAGCAGUUAGCAAAGUAAUACACAGGGAAGAGUAAUUUAUGUAUUUUAUUCCUCAGUCAUAUUUGUAUUGCAGAAAUGACUGAUAUCUCAUGCAUAAAAAAAACAAAACUUACUGCUCUAUUCCUCUUAGACAUAAAGGCCCAUAAUCUGCCCUAUAGAUGUUGAAUGCAUUCUGUAGUGAGAACACAUUCAAACACACAGGCUAAUUAAUGGAGGUAAAAAACGUUAUGUCCUACACCUCCAUGAGAGGGGG
Molecule: long non-coding RNA, 1515 nt
Organism: Pleuronectes platessa (European plaice)
Lineage: Eukaryota; Metazoa; Chordata; Actinopteri; Pleuronectiformes; Pleuronectidae
Exons: 4
Source: RefSeq, a predicted model, not a curated record